Budorcas taxicolor (takin) is the source of this 103-nucleotide small nuclear RNA. Lineage: Eukaryota; Metazoa; Chordata; Mammalia; Artiodactyla; Bovidae. The record is from RefSeq and is a predicted model, not a curated record.
GUUUGCCCCAACAGCAAGUACACUACAAAAUUUGAACCAGAGAAGACUAGCAUGGUCCCUAUGCAAAGAUAACAUGCAAAUUCGUGAAGCACUUCCUAUUUUU